RNAcentral lists this ribosomal RNA (468 nucleotides) under uncultured bacterium. RNAcentral's name for it is "partial 16S ribosomal RNA". It matches the Rfam family "Bacterial small subunit ribosomal RNA", at positions 28 to 507 of the family's 1533-position model. The record is from RNAcentral.
GACGAACGCUGGCGGCGUGCUUAACACAUGCAAGUCGAACGGAAAGGCCCUGCUUUUGUGGGGUGCUCGAGUGGCGAACGGGUGAGUAACACGUGAGUAACCUGCCCUUGACUUUGGGAUAACUUCAGGAAACUGGGGCUAAUACCGGAUAGGAGCUCCUGCUGCAUGGUGGGGGUUGGAAAGUUUCGGCGGUUGGGGAUGGACUCGCGGCUUAUCAGCUUGUUUGUGGGGUAGUGGCUUACCAAGGCUUUGACGGGUAGCCGGCCUGAGAGGGUGAACGGCCACAUGGGGACUGAGAUACGGCGCAGACUGCUACGGGAGGCAGCGGUGGGGAGUAUGACACAGUGGGCGGGAGCCUGAUGCGGCGACCCCGCGUGCGGGAUGACGGCUUUCGGGUUAUGAACCAAUUUCGACUGUGACAAGGCGUGAGUGACGGUAAUGGGUAAAAAAGCACCGGCUAACUACGUG